CCUACGGGUGGCUGCAGUGAGGAAUAUUGGUCAAUGGGCGCGAGCCUGAACCAGCCAAGUCGCGUGAGGGAUGAAUGUUCUAUGGAUCGUAAACCUCUUUUAUAAGGGAAUAAAGUGUGGGACGUGUCCUUUUUUGUAUGUACCUUAUGAAUAAGGAUCGGCUAACUCCGUGCCAGCAGCCGCGGUAAUACGGAGGAUCCGAGCGUUAUCCGGAUUUAUUGGGUUUAAAGGGUGCGUAGGCGGUCUGUUAAGUCAGCGGUGAAAGUCUGUGGCUCAACCAUAGAAUUGCCGUUGAAACUGGUGGGCUUGAGUGUGUUUGAGGCAGGCGGAAUGCGUGGUGUAGCGGUGAAAUGCUUAGAUAUCACGCAGAACCCCGAUUGCGAAGGCAGCCUGCCAAGCCAUGACUGACGCUGAUGCACGAAAGCGUGGGGAUCAAACAGGAUUAGAUACCCCGGUAGUC
RNAcentral lists this ribosomal RNA (460 nucleotides) under uncultured bacterium. RNAcentral describes it as "partial 16S ribosomal RNA". It matches the Rfam family "Bacterial small subunit ribosomal RNA", at positions 338 to 795 of the family's 1533-position model. The record is from RNAcentral.